This 887-nucleotide ribosomal RNA is filed under the name uncultured rumen bacterium. RNAcentral's name for it is "bacterial SSU rRNA". It matches the Rfam family "Bacterial small subunit ribosomal RNA", at positions 505 to 1397 of the family's 1533-position model. The record is from RNAcentral.
GUGCCAGCAGCCGCGGUAAUACGGAAGGUCCGAGCGUUAUCCGGAUUUAUUGGGUUUAAAGGGAGCGCAGGCGGAAUGUUAAGUCAGCUGUGAAAUCCCGUCGCUCAACGGCGGAACUGCAGUUGAUACUGGCUUUCUUGAGUGCACAUAAGGAUGGUGGAAUUCGUGGUGUAGCGGUGAAAUGCUUAGAUAUCACGAAGAACUCCGAUUGCGAAGGCAGCCAUCUGGGGUGCAACUGACGCUGAGGCUCGAAAGUGCGGGUAUCAAACAGGAUUAGAUACCCUGGUAGUCCGCACAGUAAACGAUGAAUACUCGCUGUCGGCGAUAUACUGUCGGCGGCCAAGCGAAAGCAUUAAGUAUUCCACCUGGGGAGUACGCCGGCAACGGUGAAACUCAAAGGAAUUGACGGGGGCCCGCACAAGCGGAGGAACAUGUGGUUUAAUUCGAUGAUACGCGAGGAACCUUACCCGGGCUUGAACUGCACCCGACGGACAAAGAGAUUUGUCUUCCGCAAGGCGGGUGUGGAGGUGCUGCAUGGUUGUCGUCAGCUCGUGCCGUGAGGUGUCGGCUUAAGUGCCAUAACGAGCGCAACCCUUCUCUUCAGUUGCCAUCAGGUAGAGCUGGGCACUCUGGAGACACUGCCAUCGUAAGAUGCGAGGAAGGUGGGGAUGACGUCAAAUCAGCACGGCCCUUACGUCCGGGGCUACACACGUGUUACAAUGGGAGGUACAGAAGGCCGCGACCCGGCGACGGGAAGCCAAUCCCCAAAUCCUCUCUCAGUUCGGACUGGAGUCUGCAACCCGACUCCACGAAGCUGGAUUCGCUAGUAAUCGCGCAUCAGCCAUGGCGCGGUGAAUACGUUCCCGGGCCUUGCACACACCGCCCGU